AGUCACUGACAUUAGAUACCCCUGUAGUCCAGGGUGUAAACGCUGCAGACUUGGUGUUGGAGGCCCUUUGGGGGCAUUCAGUGCCGGAGAGAAGUUGUUAAGUCUGCUACUUGGGAGUACGUCCGCAAGGAUGAAACUUAAAGGAAUUGGCGGGGGAGCACCGCAACGGGAGGAGCGUGCGGUUUAAUUGGAUUCAACACCGUAAAACUCACCAGGGAAGACUGUUACAUGAAGGCCGAGAUGAAGACUCUGCUAGAUUUUCAG
Molecule: ribosomal RNA, 264 nt
Filed under: uncultured archaeon
Lineage: Archaea
Description: partial 16S ribosomal RNA
Rfam family: Archaeal small subunit ribosomal RNA
Source: RNAcentral